Molecule: ribosomal RNA, 600 nt
Filed under: Cyclophora tenuis
Lineage: Eukaryota; Bacillariophyta; Fragilariophyceae; Cyclophorales; Cyclophoraceae
Description: partial Bacterial large subunit ribosomal RNA
Rfam family: Bacterial large subunit ribosomal RNA
Source: RNAcentral
GAAAGCCUAAGGUUUCCUGAGCAACGCUCGUCGACUCAGGGUAAGUCGGGACCUAAGCCGAGGCGGAAAAGCGUAGGCGAUGGACAACAGGUUGAAAUUCCUGUACUAUCCUGUAACAGAACUGUGGGGACGCAGAAAGAGAGCGUGAGCCGGGAAUGGAAAGACCGGUGCAAGCGAGGUAGGAGUCACAUAGGAAAAACCGUGUGGCAAUCCAAAGGCGUGAUGCGGAGCGAACUGAAGUAGCGAAGUAUGUGAGCCAUGCGUCGAGAAAAGCCGCUAUUGUUCAUGCUGUACCCGUACCGUAAACCGACACAGGUGGAUGAGGAGAGAAUCCUAAGGCCGACGGGAGAAGCAUUGUUAAGGAACUCGGCAAAAUGACCCCGUAACUUCGGGAGAAGGGGUGCCUGCGAGAGCAGGCCGCAGAGAAUAGGCUCAAGCAACUGUUUAGCAAAAACACAGGUCUAUGCGAAACCGAAAGGUGAGGUAUAUGGGCUGACGCCUGCCCGGUGCUGGAAGGUUAAGAGGAGAGGUUAGCGCAAGCGAAGCUUUGAACUUAAGCCCCAGUAAACGGCGGCCGUAACAAUAACGGUCCUAAGGUAG